Molecule: ribosomal RNA, 397 nt
Filed under: uncultured bacterium
Lineage: Bacteria
Description: partial 16S ribosomal RNA
Rfam family: Bacterial small subunit ribosomal RNA
Source: RNAcentral
AUACGUAGGGGGCGAGCGUUGUCCGGAAUGAUUGGGCGUAAAGGGCGCGUAGGCGGCCCGGUAAGUCUGGAGUGAAAGUCCUGUUUUUAAGAUGGGAAUUGCUUUGGAUACUGUCGGGCUUGAGUGCAGGAGAGGGAAGUGGAAUCCCCAGUGUAGCGGUGAAAUGCGUAGAGAUUGGGAGGAACACCAGUGGCGAAGGCGACUUACUGGACUGUAACUGACGCUGAGGCGCGAAAGUGUGGGGAGCAAACAGGAUUAGAUACCCUGGUAGUCCACACUGUAAACGAUGAAUGCUAGGUGUAGGGGGUAUCGACCCCUUCUGUGCCGCAGUCAACACAAUAAGCAUUCCGCCUGGGGAGUACGGCCGCAAGGUUGAAACUCAAAUGAAUUGACGGGG